This 119-nucleotide ribosomal RNA is filed under the name Pteropus alecto (black flying fox). RNAcentral also lists the same sequence under 1 other name. The record is from RNAcentral. Lineage: Eukaryota; Metazoa; Chordata; Mammalia; Chiroptera; Pteropodidae.
GUCUACGGCCAUGCCACCCUGAACGUGCCAGAUCUUGACUGAUCUCGGAAGCUAAGCAGGGUCAGGCCUGGUUAGUACUUGGAUGGGAGACCACCUAGGAAGAACAGGUGCUGUAGGCA